RNAcentral lists this long non-coding RNA (423 nucleotides) under Gallus gallus (chicken). Lineage: Eukaryota; Metazoa; Chordata; Aves; Galliformes; Phasianidae. The record is from RNAcentral.
UAUGGCUUAUCAUGAACUCUAUUCAAAUCCUCGUGAAGACCAUCCAAAAGAAAAGCCAGAAGCUCCUGUGAGUCUUGCUGUUGAAAGCCAUUAAACCUUGGAGCAUAUUUUGCUAUUGUCCACCGCAACUUCAGUGGUGCUAUAUUCUUCUGAGUCCCACUCCACAACUCCUGAACUAAAUCCCCAUAGCACUUGGCCAUGUGUCCUUUCAUUCCUAUUGGAUUUGUCCUGUUAAGUUCAUAAAGGUGUCUUCCUGAGAUGAAAUACCGUGUCAGAGGUUGCGUAUUACUGACACACUGGAUACUAGAGUUCAUGAAACAUGUGUUACCCAGAUUGCUUAAUCCAGUAGCACCCUUCUCAGUAGGAACUUUAUGUCUGUCUAUUUUACUGCUGUUUGCUAUAAAAGACAUCUCUUCAGGCCAG